Molecule: long non-coding RNA, 136 nt
Organism: Maniola jurtina (meadow brown)
Lineage: Eukaryota; Metazoa; Arthropoda; Insecta; Lepidoptera; Nymphalidae
Exons: 2
Source: RefSeq, a predicted model, not a curated record
UCUGUCUGUCGAGUGUGUCAAGAAAACCUCUAGGGUACUUCCCAUUAACCUAGAAUGAUGAAAUUUGGCAGUUAGGUAGGUUUUAUAGCACAAGUAAAGGAAAAUCCGAAAACCGUGAAUUUGUGGUUACAUCACA